ACGGAAGGCAGCAGUGGGGGAUAUUGCACAAUGGGGGAAACCCUGAUGCAGCGACGCCGCGUGAGUGAUGAAGUAUUUCGGUAUGUAAAGCUCUAUCAGCAGGGAAGAAAAUGACGGUACCUGACUAAGAAGCUCCGGCUAAAUACGUGCCAGCAGCCGCGGUAAUACGUAUGGAGCAAGCGUUAUCCGGAUUUACUGGGUGUAAAGGGAGCGUAGACGGUUUGCCAAGUCUGAUGUGAAAGGUGGGGGCCCAACCCCCAAACUGCAUUGGAAACUGGUAGACUAGAGUGUCGGAGAGGUAAGUGGAAUUCCUAGUGUAGCGGUGAAAUGCGUAGAUAUUAGGAGGAACACCAGUGGCGAAGGCGGCUUACUGGACGAUAACUGACGUUGAGGCUCGAAAGCGUGGGGAGCAAACAGGAUUAGAUACCCUGGUA
RNAcentral lists this ribosomal RNA (434 nucleotides) under uncultured Lachnospiraceae bacterium. Its description in RNAcentral is "partial 16S ribosomal RNA". It matches the Rfam family "Bacterial small subunit ribosomal RNA", at positions 341 to 792 of the family's 1533-position model. Lineage: Bacteria; Bacillati; Bacillota; Clostridia; Lachnospirales; Lachnospiraceae. The record is from RNAcentral.